GGUGGGAUCGCAUAGUGGACUAGUGCGGUUGUUUCGAAAACAACUGUCCCUUUGGGGACCGCAGGUUCGAAUCCUGCUCCCACCG
Molecule: transfer RNA, 85 nt
Filed under: Candidatus Daviesbacteria bacterium RIFCSPHIGHO2_01_FULL_41_45
Lineage: Bacteria; Candidatus Daviesiibacteriota
Also listed under: 2 other names
Description: tRNA-Ser
Rfam family: tRNA
About the family: Transfer RNA (tRNA) molecules are approximately 80 nucleotides in length. Their secondary structure includes four short double-helical elements and three loops (D, anti-codon, and T loops).
Source: RNAcentral